UAGAGGAAGUAACAGAACAGUUAUAUGUAGAGGAUAAUAGAGGAAGUAACAGAACAGUUAUAUGUAGAGGAGGCUAGAGGAAGUAACAGAACAGUUAUAUGUAGAGGAUAAUAGAGGAAGUAACAGAACAGUUAUAUGUAGAGGGUGCUAGAGGAAGUAACAGAACAGUUAUAUGUAGAGGAUAAUAGAGGAAGUAACAGAACAGUUAUAUGCAGAGGAUAAUAGAGGAAGUAACAGAACAGUUAUAUGUAGAGGAUAAUAGAGGAAGUAACAGAACAGUUAUAUAUAUAGAGGAUAAUAGAGGAAGUAACAGAACAGUUAUAUGUAGAGGGUGCUAGAGGAAGUAACAGAACAGUUAUAUGUAGAGGAUAAUAGAGGAAGUAACAGAACAGUUAUAUGUAGAGGGUGCUAGAGGAAGUAACAGAACAGUUAUAUGUAGAGGAUAAUAGAGGAAGUAACAGAACAGUUAUAUGUAGAGGAUAAUAGAGGAAGUAACAGAACAGUUAUAUGUUGAGGGUGCUAGAGGAAGUAACAGAACAGUUAUAUGUAGAGGCUAAUAGAGGAAGUAACAGAACAGUUAUAUGUAGAGGGUGCUAGAGGAAGUAACAGAACAGUUAUAUGUAGAGGGGGCUAGACGAAGUAACAGAACAGUUAUAUGUAGAGGGGGCUAGAGGAAGUAACAGAACAGUUAUAUGUUGAGGGGGCUAGAGGAAGUAACAGAACAGUUAUAUGUAGAGGGGGCUAGAGGAAGUAACAGAACAGUUAUAUGUAGAGGAUAAUAGAGGAAGUAACAGAACAGUUAUACGUAGAGGGUGCUAGAGGAAGUAACAUAACAGUUUUAUGUAGAGGGUGCUAGAGGAAGUAACAGAACAGUUAUAUGUAGAGGAUGCUAGAGGAAGUAACAGAACAGUUAUAUGUAGAGUAUAAUAGAGGAAGUAACAGAACAGUUAUAUGUAGAGGGUGCUAGAGGAAGUAACAGAACAGUUAUAUGUAGAGGAUAAUAGAGGAAGUAACAGAACAGUUAUAUGUAGAGGAUAAUAGAGGCAGUAACAGAACAGUUAUAUGUAGAGGGGUCUAGAGGAAGUUACAGAACAGUUAUAUGUAGAGGGGGCUAGAGGAAGUAACAGAACAGUUAUAUGUAGAGGAUAAUAAAGGAGGUAACAGAACAGUUAUAUGUAGAGGGUGCUAGAGGAAGUAACAUAACAGUUAUAUGUAGAGGGUGCUAGAGGAAGUUACAGAACAGUUAUAUGUAGAGGAUAAUAGAGGAAGUAACAGAACAGUUAUAUGUAGAGGGUGCUAGAGGAAGUAACAGAACAGUUAUAUGUAGAGGAUAAUAGAGGAAGUAACAGAAC
This 1352-nucleotide long non-coding RNA is filed under the name Salmo salar (Atlantic salmon). RNAcentral describes it as "lncRNA (ENSSSAG00000098683.1, ENSSSAG00000106163.1)". Lineage: Eukaryota; Metazoa; Chordata; Actinopteri; Salmoniformes; Salmonidae. The record is from RNAcentral.